This 109-nucleotide small nuclear RNA is filed under the name Castor canadensis (American beaver). Lineage: Eukaryota; Metazoa; Chordata; Mammalia; Rodentia; Castoridae. The record is from RNAcentral.
GUGCUUGCUUCAGCAGCACCUAUACUAAAAAACUAGAAUGAUACAGAAAAGAUUAGCAUGGCCCCUGUGCAAGAAUGACAAGCAAAUUGGUGAAGUUUUCCAUAUAAAC